RNAcentral lists this unclassified non-coding RNA (154 nucleotides) under uncultured Amanita. RNAcentral describes it as "sequence contains ITS2". The record is from RNAcentral. Lineage: Eukaryota; Fungi; Basidiomycota; Agaricomycetes; Agaricales; Amanitaceae.
AUCUCUCAAAACUUCAUUUUUAUGAAGUAAUUUGGAUAUUGGGAGUCAUUGCUGAUGGCUGUUGAAGCUCAGCUUUCCUUAAAUUCCUUGAGGACGAAAUGUUGGUGUGUGAUAAUAAUUGUCUAUACCAAACAAGUCCUUUUGCUAUCUUAAU